AUUGAACGCUGGCGGCAGGCCUAACACAUGCAAGUCGAACGAGUGGCGGACGGGUGAGUAAUGUCUGGGAAACUGCCUGAUGGAGGGGGAUAACUACUGGAAACGGUAGCUAAUACCGCAUACCAUCGGAUGUGCCCAGAUGGGAUUAGCUAGUAGUUGGGGUAAAGGCUCACCUAGGCGACGAUCUCUAGCUGGUCUGAGAGGAUGACCAACCAAACUGGAACUGAGACACGGUCCAGACUCCUACGGGAGGCAGCAGGGGUGAAUAUUGCACGAUGGGCGCAAGCCUGAUUCAGCCAUGCCGCGUGUAUGAAGAAGGACUUCGGGUUGUAAAGUACUUUCAGCGGGGAGGCGUUACCCGCAGAAGAAGCACCGGCUAACUCCGUGCCAGCAGCCGCGAUAAUAC
RNAcentral lists this ribosomal RNA (406 nucleotides) under uncultured bacterium. RNAcentral describes it as "partial 16S ribosomal RNA". It matches the Rfam family "Bacterial small subunit ribosomal RNA", at positions 30 to 526 of the family's 1533-position model. The record is from RNAcentral.